This 443-nucleotide ribosomal RNA is filed under the name uncultured bacterium. RNAcentral describes it as "partial 16S ribosomal RNA". It matches the Rfam family "Bacterial small subunit ribosomal RNA", at positions 338 to 795 of the family's 1533-position model. The record is from RNAcentral.
CCUACGGGAGGCAGCAGUGGGGAAUAUUGGGCAAUGGGCGCAAGCCUGACCCAGCAACGCCGCGUGAAGGAAGAAGGCUUUCGGGUUGUAAACUUCUUUUUUCAGGGACGAAGAAAGUGACGGUACCUGAGGAAUAAGCCACGUCUAAAGACGUGCCAGCAACCGCGGUAAUACGUAGGUGGCAAGCGUUAGCCGGAUUUACUGGGUGUAAAGGGCGUGUAGGCGGGGAAGCAAGUCAGAUGUGAAAACCACGGGCGCAACCUGUGGCGUGCAUUUGAAACUGUGGUUCUUGAGUACUGGAGAGGCAGACGGAAUUCCUAGUGUAGCGGUGAAAUGCGUAGAUAUUAGGAGGAACACCAGUGGCGAAGGCGGUCUGCUGGACAGCAACUGACGCUGAGGCGCGAAAGCGUGGGGAGCAAACAGGAUUAGAUACCCGGGUAGUC